RNAcentral lists this non-coding RNA (28 nucleotides) under Mus musculus (house mouse). The record is from RNAcentral. Lineage: Eukaryota; Metazoa; Chordata; Mammalia; Rodentia; Muridae.
UGGAGAAGUUGUCCUUCUAAUAGGGAGC